CAAAAGCCAUGCUUUGAUCUGAAACCCUCUCUGUCUCCCUCUCUGCAUCUCUACUGAAGAGACCAGGGAACACGGGCUGAAUGGACAACAGGACCGCCACUAUCAGGUCUCACAUAUCACUGACAAACUGAAAGUGGACUUGGGGA
This is a long non-coding RNA of Megalops cyprinoides (Indo-Pacific tarpon), 146 nucleotides long. RefSeq lists it as uncharacterized. The transcript is spliced from 3 exons. NCBI's taxonomy places the organism in Eukaryota, Metazoa, Chordata, Actinopteri, Elopiformes, Megalopidae. The record is from RefSeq and is a predicted model, not a curated record.